This 1440-nucleotide ribosomal RNA is filed under the name Triticum aestivum (bread wheat). RNAcentral describes it as "partial small subunit ribosomal RNA". Lineage: Eukaryota; Viridiplantae; Streptophyta; Magnoliopsida; Poales; Poaceae. The record is from RNAcentral.
GCACCGAGCCCACCGUCGCUCCCGCUGCUGGGCCACCUCCACCUGAUCAAGAAGCCGCUGCACCGCUCGCUGGCCACGCUGGCCGCCUCGGUGCACGGCCGCGGCGGGGCCCUGGCGCCGCUCGUGUCGCUGAGGCUCGGGGCGCGCCCGGCGCUCCUCGUGUCCACGCACGCCGCCGCCGAGGAGUGCUUCACGGUGCACGACGCCGCCCUGGCGGCACGGCCGCGGCUGCUCGUGGGGAAGCACCUGGGGUACAACUACACGGCGAUCACCUGGGCCUCCCACAGCGCCUACUCGAUCGGCCUCCGCCGGUUCCUCGCCGGCAAUAUCUUCUCGGCGCCCCGCCUCGAGGAACGCGCGGCCGACCGCCGUGCCGAGGUCACGUCCCUCGUGGAUAAUCUGCUCCACGACGCGGCGGCCGGCGGCGCGGCGGGGGUCACGGUCACCCUCCGCCCUAGGAUCUUCGAGCUGGUGCUUAACGUGAUGAUGCGCGCCGUGACGGCACACGGGCACGCCGGCGACGUGCGCAGGUUCCAGGAGUUCGUCGAGGAGUCGUACGUGGUGGUCGGCGCGCCCAGCGUCGGGGACUUCUUCCCGGCGCUGCGGUGGGUCGACCGUCUGCGCGGCAUCGACGCCGCGUACGCGAGGCUGCAGACGAAGCGUGAUGCGUUCGUGGCAGGCCUCGUCGACGACCACAGACGGAGGCGCGGCAACGCCGGCGGCGACGGAGACACGACCAGCGUCAUCGACGAGCUGUUGGCGCUGCAGGAAACCGAUCCCGAGUACUACACCGACAACGUCGUCAAGGGCAUCGUCUUGGUGCUGUUCACCACCGGGACUGACACGACGGCGCUGACCGUCGAGUGGACGAUGGCGCUGCUGCUGAAGCACCCGGAGAUGCUGCAGAAGGCGAGGGACGAGAUAGACGCCAACGUCGGCGCGGGGCGGCUGGUCGAGGAGUCGGACAUGGCCAACCUCCCCUACCUGCACUGCGUCGUGAAGGAGAGCCUCCGGCUGUGCCCCGUCGGCCCGCUCAUCCCGGCGCACGAGGCCAUGGAGGACUCGACGGUGGGCGGCUUCAGGGUCCGGCGCGGCACGAUGAUCCUCGUGAACUCGUGGGCGAUCAACCGGGACGCCGACGCCUGGGACUCCCCGGGGGAGUUCCGACCGGAGCAGUUCUUGGACGCCGACAUGGCCAAGGCCGCGCCCAUGCUGCCGUUCGGGCUCGGCCGGAGGCGGUGCCCGGCGGAAGGGCUGGGCAUGCGCCUUCUUGGCUUCACGCUGGCGGCGCUCGUGCAGUGCUUCGAGUGGGAUGCCGGAGGAGGCCGUGCCAUUGACAUGGCCGAAGGUGGCGGCCUAAGCAUGCCAAUGGCCACGCCGUUGGCGCUUGUCUGCCGGCCCCGAGGAUUCGUCAAGGGCUUGCUCUCUGCUUCCGCUUGA